This 29-nucleotide small RNA is filed under the name Bombyx mori (domestic silkworm). Its description in RNAcentral is "ovarian small RNA-7703". Lineage: Eukaryota; Metazoa; Arthropoda; Insecta; Lepidoptera; Bombycidae. The record is from RNAcentral.
UCUAUGUGUGUGCUCUCACGCAGGGAGUA